UGGGGAAUAUUGCGCAAUGGGCGAAAGCCUGACGCAGCAACGCCGCGUGCGGGAUGACGGCCUUCGGGUUGUAAACCGCUUUCAGUGGGGACGAAAUUGACGGUACCCACAGAAGAAGCCCCGGCCAACUACGUGCCAGCAGCCGCGGUAACACGUAGGGGGCGAGCGUUGUCCGGAUUUAUUGGGCGUAAAGAGCUCGUAGGCGGCUCGGUAAGUCAGGUGUGAAAACUCUAGGCUCAACCUAGAGACGCCACCUGAUACUGCCGUGGCUAGAGUCCGGUAGGGGAGCAUGGAAUUCCUGGUGUAGCGGUGAAAUGCGCAGAUAUCAGGAGGAACACCAGUGGCGAAGGCGGUGCUCUGGGCCGGAACUGACGCUGAGGAGCGAAAGCGUGGGGAGCAAACAG
RNAcentral lists this ribosomal RNA (404 nucleotides) under uncultured bacterium. Its description in RNAcentral is "bacterial SSU rRNA". It matches the Rfam family "Bacterial small subunit ribosomal RNA", at positions 355 to 775 of the family's 1533-position model. The record is from RNAcentral.